GUACUUGCUUCGGCAGCACACGCACUAAAAUUGGAAUGAUACAGAGAUUCUCAUGGCCUCUGCACAAGGAUGACAGGCAAAUUCACGAAUUCUGCAUGUUCCAUAUUUUU
This is a small nuclear RNA of Callithrix jacchus (white-tufted-ear marmoset), 110 nucleotides long. The record is from Ensembl. NCBI's taxonomy places the organism in Eukaryota, Metazoa, Chordata, Mammalia, Primates, Cebidae.